AGAACGAACGCUGGCGGCAGGCUUAACACAUGCAAGUCGAGCGCCCCGCAAGGGAAGCGGCAGACGGGUGAGUAACGCGUGGGAACAUACCCUCCGGUUCGGAAUAGCUCAGGGAAACUUGGAUUAAUACCGGAUACGGCCUAGCGGCGAAAGAUUCAUCGCCGGAGGAUUGGCCCGCGUUCGAUUAGCUAGUUGGUGAGGUAACGGCUCACCAAGGCGACGAUCGAUAGCUGGUCUGAGAGGAUGAUCAGCCACAUUGGGACUGAGACACGGCCCAAACUCCUACGGGAGGCAGCAGUGGGGAAUAUUGGACAAUGGGCGCAAGCCUGAUCCAGCCAUGCCGCGUGAGUGAUGACGGCCUUAGGGUUGUAAAGCUCUUUCGCUAGGGACGAUAAUGACGGUACCUAGACAAGAAGCCCCGGCUAACUUCGUGCCAGCAGCCGC
Molecule: ribosomal RNA, 444 nt
Filed under: uncultured bacterium
Lineage: Bacteria
Description: SSU rRNA
Rfam family: Bacterial small subunit ribosomal RNA
Source: RNAcentral